GACGAACGCUGGCGGCGUGCUUAACACAUGCAAGUCGAACGGAAAGGCCCUGCUUUUGUGGGGUGCUCGAGUGGCGAACGGGUGAGUAACACGUGAGUAACCUGCCCUUGACUUUGGGAUAACUUCAGGAAACUGGGGCUAAUACCGGAUAGGAGCUCCUGCUGCAUGGUGGGGGUUGGAAAGUUUCGGCGGUUGGGGAUGGACUGGCGGCUUAUCAGCUUGUUGGUGGGGUAGUGGCUUACCAAGGCUUUGACGGGUAGCCGGCCUGAGAGGGUGACCGGCCACAUUGGGACUGAGAUACGGCCCAGACUCCUACAGGAGGCAGCAGUGGGGAAUAUUGCACAAUGGGCGGAAGCCUGAUGCAGCAACGCCGCGUGCGGGAUGACGGCCUUCGGGUUGUAAACCGCUUUCGCCUGUGACGAAGCGUGAGUGACGGUAAUGGGUAAAGAAGCACCGGCUAACUACGUG
This 468-nucleotide ribosomal RNA is filed under the name uncultured bacterium. RNAcentral describes it as "partial 16S ribosomal RNA". It matches the Rfam family "Bacterial small subunit ribosomal RNA", at positions 28 to 507 of the family's 1533-position model. The record is from RNAcentral.